UUUAUCUACUUUUACCGACGUGACUCUUUAAAAUAGCACCAGUCCUUUUCAUCAAAAUCAAAAUUGUAUCUAAAUUUUUUACUCUUUAUAGCCAGUUAGGUUAUAUAUUACCAUUAACUUUUCAGAUAAAACGGUGAUAAAGCCCUAAUGUUUUCAUGAAACUUCCUUUUUUCCCCCAUCUGAGCAUCGGGGAAAAGGCUCUUCUUGCAAAUGUUGAGGUCACUAGUGUGUGCCCCAUUUCUUCCAGGAUCACUCUCUUUAUAGGUUUUAGUGGACUCCUAGUACUGUGAAGUGGUUUCAUGGUACAAAGGCAUUGUAUUCCAAGAUCUGGGAGAUUGUAGAAAUGAGCAGUGAUGCCCUUCCUACCAUCUUUCCAGAAAAAUAAGUGAUCUGGAAGCUGUUAGGCUUACUUACAGCAGCAGCACUUUCUGCACCUGCAUAAACUCCCGGACACAUUUACUAACAGUGUUUGUUGCUGUAUGUGCUGCAGCUUUGAAUUUUUUAUUAAUAUAUAUUUUGUUAAUAUUUUGGCUAUGGUGUCUUGUUAUGAAAUGUACAAGAGUAAAAGUGUUUUUAGCAUGUGCUUCAAAGCUAAGUUUGACUGGGAAACUCAAAGCUCAAUAGUCUGCACUCUCAGAAAUAGAGGUACGAGAGAAGAACAUUUUUGUACCUAUAGGUACAUUUUUUGUAAAUGUUCCCUUAAAAGUACAAUACUGGUCUUUAAAAGUCCAGAAAUGCCCCUUUAAAGGUUCAAUUUGAAAUAAAGUACAAAUCUGUACCAUUUUGACCUGUACUGCAGUGACAGUGGCAGAAUGUGGUAAUGGGUCAGCAUGGGAAAAUCUGGAUGGGCCUGGUUAAUUGUAAAAUUCAUAUGAGAUGUGAGUGUGCUCAUAAAAGCUACAUGUUAUAAUCAAAUCUGUUGGUCCUCUCCUCUGUACGUAAAUUAUCCUAUGAUGCAAAGAAUAUCUGUAACCUACCUUUGUGUAAGUUAUGUUAAAUUAUAUUAAAAAAAACACACACAAUGACAUGCAGGCACAACCAAAUGAUGUUAAAAAAAACUGGUCCAUUUCCAUUUUAUUAAGUUCCAGUUAUAAUUUUUAAUGUUUUAAAUCUUGGUUGUAGCCUUCAAAAACGUGAAAUCAUUUUACUGUUAUGUUUGGCCAUUUACUUUUUCGCUUUUACUACAUCCUAGAAUUGUUCAUUAAUUGUGAGGUUUUUAUGGAAUUUGCAACAUCAAGUUAAACCGAGGUUCUUUGGAAGUUAAAAUGUCAAGCAGAUUUUUAUGUUACGGUGACUACAUUUUGUAAGUUACAAAUAUAGUUCGCCAAGACAGCAUAACGGUUUCUAAACAACUGCGCAUUAAUACCACAAUGUUGUAUUUUCAUGUGUCAAGUUCGCAACGCGCAUUAAUCCCAAAGGCUGAAAAGCCAGCAGCGAUGACUAGAGUUGACACAGAAAUUGACUCUCAGGGGGUUAUCGAUGGAGGAGCUCCUUAAAAAGUUGAUGGAAGAAGGCAUUGAUGUGUCAAACGACGAGGCGCAAAGGUUUAGAGAUAACGAUGUAGAUGGAGAGACGGUAGACUGUGGACUCACUGAGACCAUGGUUGCAUAUCUUUUUGACAAGUCUUUCAAAAAGCAGCUGAAGUUCAGAGACUUCACAAACCGCUACAAGGACGUCAUCAUCACUUUACAACCGGUCGACCCAUUUGAAGGUACAGUUGAAGGUCCAGUGUCCCAAGCAAACCAGAGUUCUAUACCUUCUUGCCGUAGACUGCCUGCAGUUAUUUCCAUUCCAAAAUUCCCACAAGAUGUCCAGAGUCGCUUGGAUCUCAAAGAACCAGUCCAGAAAGAACAGAAGUACCGAAACAAAAUAAUUAGGACUCUUUAUGAAAUGCUGUCACAGUACACAAUGUACCCAACCCACUCAGACUACAUCCAGGUCAUCAAAGCCCUGAUUGUGAAGUAUCCUUUCUUAAGAGAUGUACACGGAAAUGGUUAUGACACCUGGCACAGCCAACUCAAGAGAAAGUUCAAAGCAGAACGGGCUCCCCUAAUCAGCAACGAAGAAGUGAACCGGGUUAAAGAAAAGUUUGGACGCACGCAGAAACAUCGGACCACAGAGGAAUCCAGCAGUUCCUGUCUGAAGAGACUGAAGCCC
Oreochromis aureus is the source of this 2157-nucleotide long non-coding RNA. Lineage: Eukaryota; Metazoa; Chordata; Actinopteri; Cichliformes; Cichlidae. The record is from Ensembl.